GAAGCGUUGUCCGGAAUUAUUGGGCGUAAAGGGCUCGCAGGCGGUUUCUUAAAUCUGAUGUGAAAGCCCCCGGCUCAACCGGGGAGGGUCAUUGGAAACUGGGGAACUUGAGUGCAGAAGAGGAGAGUGGAAUUCCACGUGAGCGGUGAAAUGCGUAGAGAUGUGGAGGAACACCAGUGGCGAAGGCGACUCUCUGGUCUGUAACUGACGCUGAGGAGCGAAAGCGUGGGGAGCGAACAGGAUUAGAUACCCUGGUAGUCCACGCCGUAAACGAUGAGUGCUAAGUGUUAGAGGGUUUCCGCCCCUUAGUGCUGCAGCUAACGCAUUAAGCACUCCGCCUGGAGAGUACGGUCGCAAGACUGAAAACUCAAAGGAAUUGACGGGGGCCCGCACAAGCGGUGGAGCAUGUGGUUUAAUUCGAAGCAACGCGAAGAACCUUACCAGGUCUUGACAUCCUCUGACAAUCCUAGAGAUAGGACGUCCCCUUCGGGGGCAGAGUGACAGGUGGUGCAUGGUUGUCGUCAGCUCGUGUCGUGAGAUGUUGGGUUAAGUCCCGCAACGAGCGCAACCCUUGAUCUUAGUUGCCAGCA
RNAcentral lists this ribosomal RNA (590 nucleotides) under Bacillus subtilis. Its description in RNAcentral is "bacterial SSU rRNA". It matches the Rfam family "Bacterial small subunit ribosomal RNA", at positions 535 to 1123 of the family's 1533-position model. Lineage: Bacteria; Bacillati; Bacillota; Bacilli; Caryophanales; Bacillaceae. The record is from RNAcentral.